GGCCGCGGUAUUUUGACCGUGCGAAGGUAGCGCAAUCACUUGUCUUUUAAAUGGAGACCUGUAUGAAUGGCUUAACGAGGGCUUAACUGUCUCCUUUUUCCAGUCAAUGAAAUUGAUCUCCCCGUGCAGAAGCGGGGAUGUGAACAUAAGACGAGAAGACCCUAUGGAGCUUUAGACACCAAGGCAGAUCAUGUCAAAAACCCCCGUAUAAGGGAUGAAACAAAAUGAACCCUGCCCGCAUGUCUUUGGUUGGGGCGACCGCGGAGUAAUAAAUAACCCCCGUGUGGACCGGGAGCACUGCUCCUAAAAACAAGAACCGCAAUUCUAACUAACAGAACUUCUGACCUGUAAGAUCCGGCAAUGCCGAUCAACGGACUGAGUUACCCUAGGGAUAACAGCGCAAUCCCCUCUAAAAGACCAUAUUGACGAGGGGGCUUACGACCUCGAUGUUGGAUCAGGACAUCCUAACGGUGCAGCCGCUGUUAAGGGUUCGUUUGUUCAACGAUUAAAGUCCUACGUGAUCUGA
Molecule: ribosomal RNA, 526 nt
Filed under: Pseudupeneus grandisquamis
Lineage: Eukaryota; Metazoa; Chordata; Actinopteri; Syngnathiformes; Mullidae
Description: partial 16S ribosomal RNA
Rfam family: Bacterial large subunit ribosomal RNA
Source: RNAcentral